ACGUCAAAGGCCCGGGUGGACUGGUACCCCGACGUCGUGCGUUCGCGCCGACGAAGGGGGAAACCUCCGGUGUCCUGGCUGCCCUGCGACGGUCGUGCAGCAGAGGAGCAAUGCAUCUCUCUCUCGCGGCGUGCAAAAGGUCGGUGACCCACCCGACCCGUCUUGAAACACGGACCAAGGAGUCUAACAUGUGUGCGAGUCAUUGGGCGCACUAAACCCAGAGGCGAAAUGAAAGUGAAAGGAGGGUGCGGUUUCGCCGUGCUCUCCGGGGCCGAUCCUCGACCGGCUGUUGCCGCCAGGGUUCCCAUACCAAAGCGAGGUUACACAUAGGAGGUUUGGCGGGGUGAGUCCCUUUCCCCCGUCUGCCUCUGGCCUCGUGGGUUCCCGGUGCGCACGACGGUCCGGCUCCUUCACGGGAGUCGCCUGUACGCAGGGGGGCGCAGGCCCGGGACUUGCCAUUCGACGCCGCGCGCGAAUCUGUUGUUGGCCUCGCCGGCUUUGCUUGGGCUCUCGGUUGGCGCGCCGCGCGUCAGGCGGGCUUCGGGUGGGGGUCUCGUGCCCUCAUUCGGGUUCGUC
This 576-nucleotide ribosomal RNA is filed under the name Minuca mordax. Its description in RNAcentral is "partial 28S ribosomal RNA". The record is from RNAcentral. Lineage: Eukaryota; Metazoa; Arthropoda; Malacostraca; Decapoda; Ocypodidae.